GGGUCAGUAGGUUGGUCGUGCCACCGGUACGUACUGGUCUCACUGAUUCCUCCUUCCUGAAGCACCGUAAUGCCAUUAAUUUGGUGUUGCGGGGAAACAGGACUGUUACUUUGAAAAAAUUAGAGUGUUUAAAGCAAGCUAACGCUUGAAUACAUUAGCAUGGAAUAAUGAAAUAGGACGAUCGAUCCUAUUUUGUUGGCUUCUAGGAUUGACGUA
This 216-nucleotide ribosomal RNA is filed under the name Glomeromycotina sp. RNAcentral describes it as "partial small subunit ribosomal RNA". The stretch from base 75 to 216 matches the Rfam family "Eukaryotic small subunit ribosomal RNA", at positions 721 to 864 of the family's 1831-position model. The record is from RNAcentral. Lineage: Eukaryota; Fungi; Glomeromycota.